GACGAACGCUGGCGGCGUGCUUAACACAUGCAAGUCGAACGGAAAGGCCCCUUUGGGGGUACUCGAGUGGCGAACGGGUGAGUAACACGUGAGUAACCUGCCCUUGACUUCGGGAUAACUUCAGGAAACUGGGGCUAAUACCGGAUAGGAAUCCUUGCUGCAUGGUGGGGGUUGGAAAGCUUCGGCGGUUUUGGAUGGACUCGCGGCGUAUCAGCUUGUUGGUGGGGUAGUGGCUUACCAAGGCUUUGACGGGUAGCCGGCCUGAGAGGGCGACCGGCCACAUUGGGACUGAGAUAAGGCCCAGACUCCUACGGGAGGCAGCAGUGGGGAAUAUUGCACAAUGGGCGGAAGCCUGAUGCAGCAACGCCGCGUGCGGGAGGACGGCCUUCGGGUUGUAAACCGCUUUCAGCAGGGGCGAAGCUUGUGGUGACGGUACCUGCAGAAGAAGCACCGGCUAACUACGUG
RNAcentral lists this ribosomal RNA (465 nucleotides) under uncultured bacterium. RNAcentral's name for it is "partial 16S ribosomal RNA". It matches the Rfam family "Bacterial small subunit ribosomal RNA", at positions 28 to 507 of the family's 1533-position model. The record is from RNAcentral.